AGUGAACGCUGGCGGUAGGCCUAACACAUGCAAGUCGAACGGCAGCACAGUAAGAGCUUGCUCUUACGGGUGGCGAGUGGCGGACGGGUGAGGAAUACAUCGGAAUCUACUUUUUCGUGGGGGAUAACGUAGGGAAACUUACGCUAAUACCGCAUACGUCCUACGGGUGAAAGCAGGGGAUCUUCGGACCUUGCGCGAUUGAAUGAGCCGAUGUCGGGUUAGCUCGUUGGCGGGGUAAAGGCCCACCAAGGCGACGAUCCGUAGCUGGUCUGAGAGGAUGAUCAGCCACACUGGAACUGAGACACGGUCCAGACUCCUACGGGAGGCAGCAGUGGGGAAUAUUGGACAAUGGGCGCAAGCCUGAUCCAGCCAUACCGCGUGAGUGAAGAAGGCCUUCGGGUUGUAAAGCCCUUUUGUUGGGAAAGAAAAGCAGCAGGUUAAUACCCCGCUGUUCUGACGGUACCCAAAGAAUAAGCACCGGCUAACUUCGUG
This 492-nucleotide ribosomal RNA is filed under the name uncultured bacterium. Its description in RNAcentral is "partial 16S ribosomal RNA". It matches the Rfam family "Bacterial small subunit ribosomal RNA", at positions 29 to 507 of the family's 1533-position model. The record is from RNAcentral.